Gossypium arboreum is the source of this 928-nucleotide long non-coding RNA. RefSeq lists it as uncharacterized. NCBI's taxonomy places the organism in Eukaryota, Viridiplantae, Streptophyta, Magnoliopsida, Malvales, Malvaceae. The transcript has 3 exons. The record is from RefSeq and is a predicted model, not a curated record.
AUCCUGCAUCAUCAAACAAUUUGGCAUCAUCACAAAACAGAUCUAAACAAUGAACUCUGAAUUCAACACCUAAUAAAUCCCAUGCUUUUAUAUGUAUUUAGAGAAUGUUUGUUUCACUGUUUUCGUUUUCAUGCGUUUGGUUCAGGAGGGAAAAUGAGUGGAGUCAAUCUAAAAGAUUUUACCGGUCAACGUAAAAACCCAUGUUUUUUUUUUUCUUUAAAAUAUCUUUACCCUUUAAUUUUCCAUCCUUUCUUUCUCAUCAUCUAUCGAGAGAUCAUCUUGCCCUUUUUCUUAUUCUCUUCCCGGUGGCACCAUCCAACAUCUCCCACCGGCAACAUUACCGGUUUAUAGUUGUGAGGUUUUCUACUUCUGCAUAGUUGUCUUCUAUAAGUUGAAUUUGAGAUUAAACAACUCCAUAGAUGGAUGGUUAACAUGAACCUACAAGGAUUUCAGCUGAAAAAUGCAAGAGAGCCAUUAUAUGAAAUUUGAAUGUGGAAAAAGGACACAGAGAGCAAAGGAGAGCCCCAAGUGCUAGUUAAGGUGUCUAACUAGCUCAUAAAUGGAUGAGUUCGUUAUUGGAAACCAACGGUGGAAGAACUAGGCAUGCUUGAGAUCAAAGGCUUGGCAGAAUCCAAUCAGAACUUGAGAAAAAAGUGAUAAAAUCUACUAGUGAAUGAGGUACCAGUCGCCCAAAUGAAGACCAAUCUAUCAACACAGUGAUUAUGCUAGUAUUAUUGACAUAUGUUAUGGUUUGCUACGAAUGUUCUUGGAUACCUAAAUCUUAAAAUUAUGUAUACUAGUAUUGAUUAUGGGAGGUUGGCAUUAGCAAUUGUAGAUACGAUAAACUUGUAUUUAAUGUUGUCUAGCUUUAAUGUUUCAGCUGACAAUUGUAGAUUCUGUUCAUUUUAUCACAAGGUUUUGUUAGUAA